Molecule: long non-coding RNA, 7117 nt
Organism: Equus quagga
Lineage: Eukaryota; Metazoa; Chordata; Mammalia; Perissodactyla; Equidae
Exons: 5
Source: RefSeq, a predicted model, not a curated record
GAGAGUGAUGCGCCCUGGGAAAGGUGUGCACGUUUUAGGACCAGUUUGUUCUAGAUACCGCACACUGCCCUCCGGAAAUGUCCUGGUGGCGCUCUGUGAGUUUCCUGGGCUGCCGUGACAAACCUCCGCAACCGGGGGGGGGCUUCAACAACAGAAACUUCUUCUCACGCAGUUCUGGAGGCUAGAUCCAAAAUCGGGUGAUGGCAGGGCCACGCUCCCCCUGAAGAUCCUGGGGGAGAAUCCUUCCUCGUCUCUCACAGCUUCUGCCAGCAGCCCGCAUUCCUUGGCUUGUAGCCCCAUCGCUGCGGUCUCUGCCCCUGUGCUCACAUUGUCUCCUCCUGUCGUCUUCUCCCCUGUGUGUCUCUUACUGUCGUAUGAUCCAGGAUGACCGCCUCAUCUCAAGAUCCUUAAUUUAAUCACGCUGGCAAAGACCCUUUUGCCAAAGGAGGUACCGUUCCUGGGUUCUGGGGGUUGGGACGUGAUCAUGUCCUUACUCCUGCUGAGGAAGGAGGGUUGUGUUGAAUUCCUUUUUCCCUCACCGCACAGCACAGUCUCAUCUUUUUGAAAUGUCUGGCCAAUUUGGUGGGGUAAAAACGAUCUCUUGUUUUAAAGUGCAUGUCUUUAGCUGUUAAUGAAGAGGGACGAUUUUCGUGGGCUCGUGGGUCGUUUGUAUUUCUCAUUUUCUUACUGAUUCGUGUCCUUUGUCCAAUUUGCUAUUAGGUGUCAUUGUCUUCCUCUGGGUGUGCAAGAGCUCUUUGUAGAUUAGGGAUGUUGAAUCUUUAUUAUAGCUUGUAAAUAUCUUCCUAAUGGGUCACUUGCUUUUUAGGUUUUUUCAUAGUUCUUCAAUGUAUAUAACUUUUCAACUUUUCUGUAGUCAAAGCUUUGAGAGGAUUUUUCCAUCAGUCGAAUAAUUAAACAGGCUUUUCCCACUCACGUUAUUUUCAUCUAGCGCUUUAACAGUUUCACUUUUAUAUUUAAGUUUUUGCUCUGUCUGCAGUUUAUUUUAGUUGUGGUGUAUGUUAAGGCUAAUUGCCUCCCCCACUAAUUAUUGAACAGCUGUCGAUGCCAUUUAGUAAUAGUCCACAUUUUCCCAAUUGAUUUUAAAUGAUACCUUCAUAAUAUAUUCAAUUUGACUUCUUGCUCCGAUAACGUAGCAGACUGAGGAAUGUGGCCUCCUCCUGCUGAGGAACGUCAACCAAACUUCGCAACAACAACAAAAGUAAUUAAUCUUGAAAGAAAGAAGGAAUGGGAGAUGCCCAGGUGCUGGAAGAUGGGAGGGAAAAACCAGAACCAGAAGCUAUUCCAUGACUGAGGACCCCAAAAAGGCAAGAUCCUCGGUGAAGAGAGCUCACAACUGAAAAUAGAGACCACAGGCUGGAACCAUCUACCACGAGGGAGAGUCAGCAGACAAAACAAGAAGGGUCAGUCCUCAAGAAACUGAGAUAACAGCACAGCCCAAAAGAGACUACAACAUGAAUGCUUUAAAUUAUUUUUAAAAAAUUAAAAAUGCGUAAGAAAAUUAAAAGACACCGUGGAAAAAGAAGAGGCAGACGUGAAGGAAAAACAAGGAUCUAAAAGUGAAAAAUGCAGUUGUUGAAGUUAACAUUUCAACGAAUGGGUCGAAUAGCAGAUUAGACACAGCUGGAGAAAUGUUCACACGCUGAAAGACGGAACUGAGGAAAUUACCCAGCAUGCAGUCAACAAAGAUAGAGAAACAGAAUGAAAAUAAAAACUAACAAAAUAGAGUAAGAAAGUCCAACCCACGCCUCAGAGAAGACCUGAAAGGACACACACUAGGGAGAGAAUGGAGGGGAGAGAUAUUCAACGUGAUAAUGUCUGAGAAGAUUCCAGAAGUGAUGAAAGACACAACUCCUUAGAUUUAAGAAGUGGGUCAGUCCCAAGAAGGAUGCAUAACAGUGAGUCUGCACCUAGAUAAAUGUACCAAAGACAAAGAAAGAGACUUAGAGCAACCAGAAGGGGAGACCAGAUUACCUCAUGCCCGUCGCAAAAGCACAGUGUCCCAACACUUUAUACGUUAGCUCUUUAAGUCUUCAGAAUAACUCUCUUAGUAUUCUUAUUAUCCACAUUUUAAGGAUGGAAAAAUCAAGGCACAGAAAGUUUAAGUAUCUUCAUUACUUCAUGCUACUUAAGUAAUUUUGGUUGCAACCAUGGCCCCUGGGGAAUCAUGCUUCCUCAUGACCACACCCUUGUGUGGUGCGACUUCACUGCUCCUCCCCAAGAGGACACUCUUGCCGUGAAGGAGAGGCCACUCUCCUCCCGCCUUGAGUCUAGACUGGCCUCGAGACUUGCUUUGACCAAUGGAAUGCAGCAGAGAUGAUGCUGUGUGGCUUCCAAAGCCAGGCCUUAAGGAGCCUUGUAGUUUCUACUUUUGCAUCUUAGAUCACUUCCAUCAUCGCAUCAAGAAGCCCAACACAGACUUCUGGUGGAAGAGAAGCAAGAUGACCCACCUGACAGCCAGCAUCAACUGCCAGGCUUUGAGUGAGGCCAUCCUGAACCCUCCACCCAGUCGAGCCCCAGAUGAGAGCAGCCACACGAGUGACUCAAGGCCAGACAAGCGGAAGAGCCACCCAGCUGAGCCCAGCGCACACAGCAGAACGGUGAGCCGCAGCUCACCGGGCACAGAAUUACACAGUGAUGGCUGACAGGGCCGGGACUGGGACCCAGGCAGGCCAGGACUCCAGAACAGGCACCUUCACCAUGAUGCCACAGCAAAAGCCAUCAGCAACAAUGGAGACCAGAAGACAAUGCAACCUUAAAUCUUCAAGAUGAUGGAAGAAAAUGUUUGUCAACGUAAGCUGCCUUUCAGCUAAACCGUCUUUCAAGAGUAAGAGCAAAAUAAAGACAUUUCAGACAAACACAGAAACUUCACCACUCACAGAGCUUCGCUGAAAGAACUCAUAAAAGAUUACCUUAGGAAGAAGGUGGUCAAGCCCGGUAUCAAGUAUGUGAUGAGCAAUGAGCAAAGAUUUUUAAAAGGUAAAACCUAAAUAAGUGUUGGCUGGAAAAAUCGGUGAUAAUAAUGACAAACAUAGCCUCAAAACAAGAUGGAACUAAAAUAUGAGGCAAUCACACAUGGUGAUGACUUUCCAAGGGGUUAAGUCACCUAUGACCUCGUCCUGUCCAGGAGGACGGUGGAGGACACAGAUUUAGAUUGUAAGUCAAUUAUGCAUGAUAAGAAUUUAAAGAUAACCUCCAACAGGAAGAAAUGGAAUGUAUAACUUUCAAACCAAUAUAGGGAAAAGGGAAAUAAAGAAAACACUAUCAGCCCAAUAAAAAGCAAAAAAGAGGAGGGAAAGAAGAAAACGAUUGACUUUUUGUGUUUUUAUUCUAUAACUGACCAUUUUUGUAGAAUUCUCCUAUUACUUAAUAGUUUUUCACUUCCUUCCCUUGGGUUUUCAAGUAGACAAUUAUAUUAUCCACAAAUAAGGAUAAUUUUGUCCCCUUUUUAGCGGUUGUCCUUUAUGUUUCUUGUCUUCUUGCGUUGUCUAGGACUUUCAGAGCCAUGUCACACUAUAGGGGCAUUAUUAAGCAUCCUCACCUUAUUCUGGAUCUUGGUAAGAAUGCUUCCAGUAUUUUACCAUUCAAUCUGAUGUUGGCUGUUGGCUUGAGAUGGAUAUUCUUUGUCACGGAAUUAGUCAGGAUAAGCUAGAGUAUGCUGCCGUAACAAAUAAUGUCAAAAUCUCACGGCUUGAGCGAGGUUUAUUUCUUGUUCAUAUUAAGUCCAGGCAGUUCUCUCUCAGUUACGGCUGUGAUUGGCUCAGCAUUGCACCUCCACAUCCGGGAAUGCUCCCCUGCUCGCUGAGGCGAGGGAAAGAGAAUCGGAGAGUCUCGUACCAGGAAUUAAGUGCUUCUAUGUAGACAUGGCACACAUUACUUCAGCUCGUGUUGAUGUCACAUGGUCCUGCCUAACCCCAGUGGAAAGUGCGUCCCCAGCCUGGAAGGAGGACUGGAAAGAUCGGCAGACAUUGCAGAUGUCACGCUAACCGUGUUAAGGAAGCAUCCUUUCAUUGCCGAUUUUACACUUGGGACCCCGGAAGACCCUAAAAGUCAACUUGAAAAGUCACUGGGGCCUUGGCUGUCUGACGACUAGCGGAGGAGGCUGGUGUGACGAGAAAGGCGAGGUGACGCAUUCGCAGGCCCUGACGACGCUCACCUCCACCGGAGCCUUUAAUCGUGUGGAGGCCCUGAAUCCUUGGCUGCUGUACCAAAUGGUCACAACCAGGUGGCUCAGGAUGACAGGAGCGUACACUCUUGCAGUUCCGGAGACCAGAAGUCUGGAAUAAAAGUGGUGGCAGGGAAAUCGCUGUCAGCCGCCUGCUCUUCAGCGUUGCAGAAUGCCGAUUCCUUUUCCACGGUCUACAGUGUUUUCUCACAGUCCUGUGCUGUCGAUGCUUUUUCCUCUGGGCCGUCUCUCAAAUGCAGGACAGUAAGCCACACUCCACGCUCACAAGUAGACAGGGCGUGUAGCUUGCCUUCGGUCCUGCUCUCUUGCCCCUAGUUGGAUGGCUAAAUCCCGUUCUCAGUGUUUGGUCUCAGCAACGGAAUCCAGGGGGCUUUGCUCAAUCCAUUUCCUAGUUUCCAGCAGGCUUCUGCCAACGGCAGCUCUGCCAAGCGAGGGUGGCAUCCGCUCCCGCCCGCUGUCUGGUUCUUGGAUAUUCUGAACAGAAUAUCCCAGCAUACACUGCUACCCGGGAGCUUCCUGCUGCUCCCCGCCCACCCCUGCACUCAUCCUGUUUCCCCCCCAGGAUACCAUGCACCGUGAAAGCCCAUGCCCACAUUCUCUGAAAGACCAGGGGACGCCACUCCAGGAGCAUCUCUGGGAGAGGGACAACCGUCCAGUUCUCAGAAUGGCACAGAUUCCAGGUCACUGAGGGGGACAGACGAUGGAGCAUGUUCUGAGCACCUUCCUACCUUUGUCCCUGUCCCUGUGUCCUGAGGCUUCUCUCCAACGCCGUCCCCCACCAUUGUCAUCAGUACGGCUCCUCCCAGACUCUGGCAUGAGGUUGGCAGCUGUUUCCCCGCACUGAGUGAGGUUUCGUCUUUCUCUCUGCCUUCAUGGGUAUUUAGUAGAAAAAUGAGAACGGCUGAAUCAGGGCGUUGCUCAUUAGAUGCCGUUUUAUAUCGAAGUCCACAGGUUUUUAGUGGUUUUUUUUUUUUAAGCCCAGACUUACUCGUUCAUUUACAUUUAAUUAUUCCAAAGAAAGGAGAGCCUUCACUGCUUGGCUGCAUGGGGAUGUCAGGAUAAAUCAGCCAAUAAUCCAGCAGAGCUUUGCAAGGAUGCAGGAGUGGAGGCAAGCCAGGCCCAGCCCCUUCCUCCCUCUGCUCUGCAAAGCUGCCUGCCCCGGGGCUCUUUCCAUCUCGAAGACCUCAUUCCUGUGCCCCCAAUUAGCAGUCUGGGAAAUCAGACACAUUUACUGAGCGCCCACUUUGCUCCAGGCACCAGGCAGUUCUCGGGGAGAGGAAGAGAGAAUCGUCAAGAUUCCUGCCCUUAUGGUGCGUGGUUUCCAUCUCUCUGCUUUAGAGCAUAAUGUCCGUUUGUCACCACGGUUUGUGACGGUUGUUUGAUUAACAACCUCGCUAGACUCCUGUCAGACUGGCAGCCCCGUGAGGGCAGGGACAGUGUCUGUAUGCUUGGUUGUUAGCGCAGCUGGGACUGGGGAGGGCUGCCUGGAGGAGAGGACUUCUGAGCCGGGCUUUGAGGGUUGGAUAGGAGUUCAGAGAGGAUAAAGCCGAUGGGAGCAGGAAAGAGGGGUGAAGUCUCUCUCCCUGGGGUCUGCUCAGCCCAAACCUGACACUGCCUCUUGGCCUUAUUCUCCGUGUGCUUUCUGCUGCUACCUGGAGAAAGUUCCUCUCUGGGUCUCUUUAGAGGCUGAGCACCGGGGGUCUGGGCAGUGUUCAGAGGAGGAUGAGGUCUGCAGUGCUUGUCAGAGUGCAUGGGCGCGUCCUAAAGGAAGGGACACCCAGGGUGUCCAGGCCUAAAAGCUAAGCCCAGAAGGAUGGGCAGAGGCUCUGAGUUUGUCUCCUCUGGGUCCCCUUUCUUUGGCUUGCUUCCUCUUCUUUAUCUCUUUUAAGCAGAUCUCAGUGGGGCCCGUCCCGCCGUGGCGGCCUUGGGGUCAUCAUCACUUUUCCAACAGGCACGUUCGUGGCUGGUCUGCUGGACGUGAACCAAGAGCCAUUUGCUCCGGAGGCGAGAGUCGAGACAGGCCCAGCUGGGCUUUCCCAUCCUUUAUGUGCCCAAUCCCAUUAAUAAUUAACGGUACAGUAAUGAGAAUGGCUUUUAAUAGAAUCUGCUGCCAUCACCGCAUUCUCUUCCCCGCCGAGGGUCUCCCCCAAAAGGAUUCACGCUUGUAUGGCUGCCGUUCCCGCCACGGGCACCGGGAAGCCGGAAGUUCUCCUGCCGAUGUCCCUCCCAGCCCCUCCUCUCUUCUGGGCCUGAGCUCCACUCCCUGUGACCUGAAAGCCCCCUCACUCCUCCAUUUCCCACCCCUGUCCCGAAGCCCCGCCCAUGUCCCCUUGAGGUGCCCCCUGUGGUGCUUGACUCCCCCAUCCAGCCCAGCCAAGCAUGGCGCUGUCAUGCCUUGUCUGUCACCAGGGCAAACUGGUCCCAUUGAGCAGGGACAGGGUGGGCGUGAGACCCACACGGUGCAUCCAGGAGCUGACGUUCUGCAUGGACAGGCCCACUUACAGCAAAGAGCAGGGAUGAAGAUGGCCCCUACUCCAUCAGAGUGUUCCAGUGAGAAGAGAAGCGAAUGUGCGGGAAGCAGAAUUAAGGGAGACGGUCCCUAACAUUUGCUCCAGGAAAACACCACAAUGUGCCCAGGGUUUUAGCUACUCAUGAUGCUAUUCACUGCAGCAUUAUUUAUGAUGUCGCAACUUGGAAACCAGCUCCUCGUUCAAUAUUGGAGGAUUGGCUUCGACAAGUGCUCAACGCAGAGCGCGUGUGGCUCACUCGGGACAAAGUCGGGAGGCUCAAAGCCGAGCGCUCGAAGUGCUUAUAGAGAGGGGAUGAAUUAUAGAUCGUCUCAAGUUUUCUCUUUGGUUUAUCUUAAUUUCAAAAUUAUCCACAAUUAACAUGUAUUACUUUUGUAAAUGGAGA